This 458-nucleotide ribosomal RNA is filed under the name uncultured bacterium. RNAcentral describes it as "partial 16S ribosomal RNA". It matches the Rfam family "Bacterial small subunit ribosomal RNA", at positions 338 to 795 of the family's 1533-position model. The record is from RNAcentral.
CCUACGGGAGGCAGCAGUGAGGAAUAUUGGUCAAUGGGCGGGAGCCUGAACCAGCCAUGCCGCGUGAAGGCGAGUGCCCUACGGGCGUUAAACUUCUUUUGUGCGGGAGCAAUAAGGGCCACGUGUGGCCCGAUGAGAGUACCGCACGAAUAAGCAUCGGCUAACUCCGUGCCAGCAGCCGCGGUAAUACGGGGGAUGCGAGCGUUAUCCGGAUUUAUUGGGUUUAAAGGGUGCGUAGGCGGAUUUUUAAGUCAGCGGUAAAAUGUCCGGGGUCAACCCGGGCCGGCCGUUGAAACUGGGGAUCUUGAGUGGGCGAGAAGUAUGCGGAAUGCGUGGUGUAGCGGUGAAAUGCAUAGAUAUCACGCAGAACUCCGAUUGCGAAGGCAGCAUACCGGCGCCCGACUGACGCUGAGGCACGAAAGCGUGGGGAUCGAACAGGAUUAGAUACCCUGGUAGUC